This 86-nucleotide transfer RNA is filed under the name Geminicoccaceae bacterium. RNAcentral's name for it is "tRNA-Leu". It matches the Rfam family "tRNA". From Rfam's summary of the family: Transfer RNA (tRNA) molecules are approximately 80 nucleotides in length. The record is from RNAcentral. Lineage: Bacteria; Pseudomonadati; Pseudomonadota; Alphaproteobacteria; Geminicoccales; Geminicoccaceae.
GCGGUUGUGGCGGAAUUGGUAGACGCGCAACGUUGAGGGCGUUGUGGGCCCAGCCCGUGGAGGUUCGAGUCCUCUCAACCGCACCA